This 241-nucleotide ribosomal RNA is filed under the name Klebsiella pneumoniae. RNAcentral describes it as "partial 23S ribosomal RNA". It matches the Rfam family "Bacterial large subunit ribosomal RNA", at positions 2702 to 2925 of the family's 2925-position model. The record is from RNAcentral. Lineage: Bacteria; Pseudomonadati; Pseudomonadota; Gammaproteobacteria; Enterobacterales; Enterobacteriaceae.
CGCAUCACUGGUGUUCGGGUUGUCAUGCCAAUGGCACUGCCCGGUAGCUAAAUGCGGAAGAGAUAAGUGCUGAAAGCAUCUAAGCACGAAACUUGCCCCGAGAUGAGUUCUCCCUGAGACUAUAAGUCUCCUGAAGGAACGUUAAAGACGAUGACGUUGAUAGGCCGGGUGUGUAAGCGCAGCGAUGCGUUGAGCUAACCGGUACUAAUGAACCGUGAGGCUUAACCUUACAACGCCGAAG